RNAcentral lists this long non-coding RNA (5111 nucleotides) under Homo sapiens (human). RNAcentral's name for it is "non-protein coding lnc-F13A1-3:17". Lineage: Eukaryota; Metazoa; Chordata; Mammalia; Primates; Hominidae. The record is from RNAcentral.
ACCAUACAGGGGAACACUCGGCAGAGCCAGAGGCCUGGGCCCAAGUCCUGCCACCAGCUGGCUGUGAAACUGUGGUACAGCACCUUGUGUCCUGCCACCAGCCGGCUGUGAAACUGGUACAGCACCUUGUCCUCAGGUCCUUGGUUUCCUCACUUGUAAAUUCAUGGUUCUCCAUGGCAUCUCUGGUCUUCAACAUUAUUUUGCAUAGAGUCUCAGAAGCUUUAGUGUGAGCGGAUGAUAUGGGCACGAAGCAAGGCACCCAGAAGUGGGGGCAACUACUCUGCUUUCUAAAAUGCAAGGGAACCGGAAAAUCCAGGAGCCGUGCCAAAUGAGAAGAGGAACAAAUGGAGGAACAUCCCAGUCAAGUGACAUUCCUAGUGACAUUCACCAGAACAGAGUCAAGCUUUGGAUCCCAUGUUCUGUGACUUCCUCUUCACCACGCUUCCUCCACACACGUAGCAGCUCAAGGGUUUCUGAUGAGUGGGGUCUAUGUUCCCUUUAUGAGCUGUAACGCACACCAUGAAGGUCUGCGGCUUGGCUAUUGAGUCAGUGAGAGCGUGAACCUACUAUUAGAAGAAAAACUCUGAAUACGUCUGAACGUCAGAAAGAACGAAGUUUGGACACAUUGUCUUUAAGAACUGUAACACUCACCCCAAGGGUUUAUGGAUUCAUUCUUGAAAUCAGUGAAACCAAAAGCUUUCCAAAGUUUAACACACAGGGAAAUGACUUACUGCAAAGAACCACUCUUCCCCACGAGACUUCGAGAAGACCCGCUGUCACGGACUGAGUUGUGUCCUCUUAAAAUUCAGAUGUUGGAGUCCAAACCCCCAGUAACUCAGAGUGUGAACGUAUUUGAAGAGGUCUUUAAAGAGGUGAUGAAGGUCUUUGUCUCUGACAAUUUGCCUCUGUGACGUGGAUGGGACUGGAAGUCCAUUUGGAGCCCUGUCUUCUCCACCUAGGGAGAGAGACCCCAUGAGCUCGUCAAGCUCCUUCUGUGACUGAUCAGAGAUCCCACCGUGAGUCCAGCUCCUGGUCCCAUGCUCUGGAUAUAUCGGUCCCUGGCAGCGUGCAGUCUUCUUUCCACCAAUGACCCCUCGCGCUGCUUCCAGAAGCCAAGAAAGUGGGCUUUGUCCUUGGGGAUUUAGGAGGCGGAGCGGCGCCCCCUUGAGGCCACAUGGUGGAGGCAGCGAUGAGACCUGGAGUCUAAAAUUCAGACUGAAUCACAGGAAGAAGCUAUUUACACAAGUCAAACAUGGUCCAAUCUUGGCAAUUUCAUAAGGUUCCAAUCCUUAAGGGAUCAAAACCUGGCCAACUGCUUCCACCGAGAGGUGUGCCUUUCAAUGCCAGGCUUGGAGUGUCCCUCUUUAUUUAAAAAGGAGAGGAUUCCACAGCAGAGCUUCUCAAACUCUUCCACCCAAAUCCCCUCACCACAGAGGGACAGGAGUCCUGGGCAUGUAGCCUAAAGCAGCCAGGAGAAAAAAACCUUGACCUUAAUUUUUUUAAUGAUUUCACAUGAAUCAGUGGAAUGUGUUUAUGAUAAAAUCAUCUCCUCCUGAAAUACAUGUGUAAAACUGCUGCCCCAGUUAAACGCACUUAGUCUAACCAAGCCCUAGGAUUGGCCUCUCCAGCAUGAGAAGCAUUUCCAGCACUCCAGCUCCCCAGCUCCCACUCUGGGAUCCCACCUCAGACCCUCCCACUUCCUUGCACUCUGGCCUCUCGCUCUUGACCCUGCUCCCGCCACGCUCUUUCCUCAGAGUCCAUCAGUCCUGUCUUGUCUUCACCUUGGUCUCUGCCAAGUGUGGGUCCAAGUCAUAUAUUUGGGCUGUGAUCACAGGAACCCCAAGCCCCAGACCUCCCAAAGCACCCUAUGGAGAGACCUUACCCUCCUGGACAGACCCUCUCCCCCCAGCUAGACCUCAUCCUCUGGGUAGACCCAUCUCCCCAACCAGAACUCACCCUCCUGAGUAAACCCCAUCCCCCUAGCUAGACUUCAUCCUCCUGGACAGAUCCCAUCCCCCCAGCUAGACCUCACCCUCUUGGGUAGAUGCAUCUCCCCAACCAGAACUCUCCUGGGUAGACCCCUUCUACCCAGCUAGACCUGAUCCUCUGGACAGACCCCAUCAUCCCAGCUAGACUUCUCCCUCCUGGACUGUCCCCAUCCCCCCUCCAGCCAGACCUCACCCCUCUGGGUAGACCCCAUCCCCCCAACUAGACCUCACCCUCCUGGAUGGACUCUACCCUCCUGGAGAUACCUUCCCCUCCUGGGUACAUCCCACGUGGCUACACACUCCUUCCCCUGUCAGCUUUCUCCCCCAGGGUUCUGGGCAGCAGAGUCUGUGAUAAAGGAUACUAAGUGAUUCCCCAAUACUUCCCGUUUCCAGCCUCCAGUGGGCUCUCCCUGGGGCUAACGGUUCUUUUUGCUAUUUCUCCAGGCUUUGCCUGAUGACAAGUAUACUCUGAGAGUGUCCUAAUGAUACAGAUUUUGGACCCUAUCCCAGUUCUACUGAAUCCAAGUCUCUGGGGGAGGAGUUGGGGCUCUGCAUCUGGACACCUUCCUGCAGGGUCCCUCCUGGGAGGCAAGCCCGGGGAGCACCGCUGAGGCUCGCCUCAGUGCCCAUCCUAGACCUUCAGCAGCUAGCAGAGGAUGUCCCCACCAUCCCUCAGCCCACACUCCCACUGUCGCCCCAGCCAGGCUUGGCACUGCCUCCUUUCUCAGAAGAUUAAGACCAUCUGCUGUUUCCCAAGUUUCCCACCCUCCACCCUAAAAAUUUCUCCGUUUCCCAGUCUUUCCUCGUCUCUCAGAAAAUAAACAUCUUCCCAGGCUGCCUCCCCAGUGGGUCUGCACUCCUUGCUGUCUUCCCAGCACCUGCCCUUCCAGCCCGCCCUCUGUGUGUCCAGUGUUUCCCUCACCAAAGGACUCGCUUUGUUUUUCAAAUUGGAGGUUUUGUCUUCUCCCUAAAAACCAAAACAUCUCCCUGAGAAGUAACUCCCUCAAGCUACUGAUACGGAAGGGGGGCGGGGAAGUGCUGGGAAGGGAAGGGUGUGGUCCCUGGCUAGGGCUCCACCCCCGGGCCUGUGCCCACAGACCUAGGUGAGGACAGGCAUUUCUGUUUUCGUGCUUAAAUGUUGGAUUUCCCAAGACUACCCUGGCCUACCACACCCUCAUUCUGUGCCUGUAAAAAAACCUGAGAGCUUAGCAGGCACGCACACAAGCCUCUGGACGUCAAGAGGAACACACCGGUGUAAGAGCAGACUGAUAGUGGCCCACGGCAGGCUGGCAGGCCAUCGACAGGCAGAACCACUCAGUGCAGCUGGAGGACAGCCUGGCCACGGAGCGGUCCGACUUCAGAGGGGAAAACCACCUCCCCACUCCGUCUCCCUUCUGGCUCCCCCAUCUGAGAGCUACUUCCACUCAAUAAAACCUUGCACUCAUUCUCCAAGCCCAUGUGUGAUCUGAUUCUUUUGGUGCACGGAGGCAAGAAACCUCAGGAUACAGAAAGCCUCUGUCCUUGGAAUAAGGCAGGAGGUCUAACAGCUGACUAGGGAUGGCUCAACUGAAACAGCAUCCUGUAACACAGGCCCAUUGGGACCUCAGGAGCUGUAAACAUUCACCCUUAGACAUUGCUGUGGGGUUGGAGCCCCACCACCUGCCCAUCUGCAUGCUCCCCCUACAGGUUUGAGCAGCGGGGCACAGAAGAAGCCAGCCACACCUCCAUCGCAAGCCCUGCCACGGGGAUAAGGGAACUUUUCCCGUUUUGCCACCAGCUCAAGCCCCGCCUUCCUGUCACUCCACACUCUUCAUCUCUGUGUAUGGGUGUGGUCUUCCUCAGUUCCUUCUCUGGCCUCACACAGUGCCCUGAAUAAUGCUUUGCAAGGCCUUUGCCAGGAGCCUAGGUGAAAGGCAGAAGAGGUGCCCCUGCAGCAUCGCAAGGUAGAGAUCGUGGUUACAAGAUGGGGACUAGACUCCCAGUUUGCCCUUGGACUGGGCAGCCCCUUGGAUUUUGUUUUCCCUGACGUUGCUGUUCUGAUCCAAGGCCUUGUGGCCUCGCUACAGACACCCAAGGCCAGGCCUAUCUUUGCAUGAAUAACUAAAGAAAGCCUAGAGGAUGAGUAAAAUGACCACACUGUAUGGCUUUGGAGGACUGGAAGUUACUGAGGACUAUGAGUGGGUUUUUUGCAUAGACUGCAGUAAAGGUCCUCAGAAAAGACCCUCAAGAGCUAUGGGGGGGUCUGGUCAAAUGCCACUUCUAGACUGGACUCCAAAACUGGUGCUGAUUAUUUUCACUCCUACCCCACCCACCAGCCUGAUAGGCGAUUCCUGAAGUAGCAGUGGGGCGCUCAGUGGUGCUCACCAGGCCCAGAGCUCAGUCCUUCCCCCAUUCUGCCUGAUGGGGCUUGUGUAACCAAGGAUGACAGAUGGGACAAUCCCUGUUGGUAAAGACUGAGUUGAUUCUGACCAGGACCAGAGAUAAAACCCAGCACCUUUAUCUUUCCCCUUUGUACCUUCUUCAGAAAGACCUUCUUCUGCAGCAGUUCUGGAACUGUGAUCUGUGAGGUGUGGUUGCAAGAAUUCUUUAUUUUUUUAUUUUAUUUUUUUCAGACAAAGUCUCACUCUGUCGCCCAGGCUGGAGUGCAAUGGUGCGAUCUCGGCCCACUGCAACCUCCGCCUCCCAGGUUCAAAUGAUUCUCCUGCCUCAGCCUCCUGAGUAGCUGGGAUUACAAGCAUGUGCCUCCACGUCCAGCUAAUUUUUGUAUUUUUAGCAGAGACGGGGUUUCAUCAUGUUGGUCAGGCUAGUCUCAAACUCUUGACCUCAUGAUACACCUGCCUUGGCCUCCUGAAGUGCUGGGAUUACAGGCGUAAGCCACCACGCCUGGCCUGGCAAGAAUUCUUUUAUAAAGAAUUCUAGGUCUAUUAAACCCAGAUUCUUCAACUAGAACAGGCACACAGGAAAAAGGUUCACUAAAAACCCUGUUCUCUUGCCUCAUUUUGGUGAUUUCCAGCUAGGCUGUUGGGAUAGGCAUAUGUAAGUGUCACUUCCAUCUUUUCAUAGGUAUCUCACAGAAUCUCUGACCAAUGGAGAGCUAAUCAAAGACAAGUUUAAUAGGUGAAG